ACAAAGAAAGAUAACUCCAAUUGAAAAUUAAUUGCUAUUGCACAAUAUUGUGCAAUUAGAUAUUUCUUGCUAUUGUGCAAUACUGUGUAAUUGAAAAUUUCUUGCUAUUGCACAAUACUUGAUAUGGAAUCCUGAUUUGGACCAACUUGAAAACUGGGCCCAUAAUCAAAAAUCAAAGUACAUAUUUAGAUAAAGCCCAAGAAUUUAAUUUUUGUUGAAAUCAAACUUAGUUUAAUUUUGGACCCUUUGGACCUUAAUGUAGACCAAUUUGAAAACUGGACCAAAAAUUAAGAAUC
RNAcentral lists this long non-coding RNA (296 nucleotides) under Mytilus galloprovincialis (Mediterranean mussel). The record is from RNAcentral. Lineage: Eukaryota; Metazoa; Mollusca; Bivalvia; Mytilida; Mytilidae.